RNAcentral lists this ribosomal RNA (254 nucleotides) under uncultured bacterium. RNAcentral describes it as "partial 16S ribosomal RNA". It matches the Rfam family "Bacterial small subunit ribosomal RNA", at positions 524 to 776 of the family's 1533-position model. The record is from RNAcentral.
UACGUAGGGGGCGAGCGUUAUCCAGAUUUACUGGGCGUAAAGCGCGUGUAGGCGGCUGGUUAGGUGUGAUGUGAAAUCCUCGGGCUCAACCCGAGAACUGCAUUGCAAACCGGCCUGGCUAGAGUGCAGGAGAGGGAAGCGGAAUUCCAGGUGUAGCAGUGAAAUGCGUAGAGAUCGGGAGGAACAUCAGUUGCGAAGGCGGCUCUCUGGACCAGCACUGACACUGAGGCACGAAAGCGUGGGGAGCAAACAGG